Molecule: ribosomal RNA, 527 nt
Filed under: Westerdykella dispersa
Lineage: Eukaryota; Fungi; Ascomycota; Dothideomycetes; Pleosporales; Sporormiaceae
Description: eukaryotic LSU rRNA
Rfam family: Eukaryotic large subunit ribosomal RNA
Source: RNAcentral
UGCAUAUCAAUAAGCGGAGGAAAAGAAACCAACAGGGAUUGCCCUAGUAACGGCGAGUGAAGCGGCAACAGCUCAAAUUUGAAAUCUGGCCCUCUCAGGGUCCGAGUUGUAAUUUGCAGAGGGUGCUUUGGCGAUGGCUGUGGUCUAAGUUCCUUGGAACAGGACGUCACAGAGGGUGAGAAUCCCGUACGUGGCCGCCAGCCUCCGCCGUGUAAAGCCCCUUCGACGAGUCGAGUUGUUUGGGAAUGCAGCUCUAAAUGGGAGGUAAAUUCCUUCUAAAGCUAAAUACUGGCCAGAGACCGAUAGCGCACAAGUAGAGUGAUCGAAAGAUGAAAAGCACUUUGGAAAGAGAGUCAAAAAGCACGUGAAAUUGUUGAAAGGGAAGCGCUUGCAGCCAGACAUGCCUGUAGUUGCUCACCGGGGCUCUUGCCCUGGGCACUCUUCUACGGGCAGGCCAGCAUCAGUCCGGGCGGUUGGAUAAAUGCCUGCUACAUGUACCUCUCUUCGGGGAGGACUUAUAGGGUAGG